AUGGAUGGCGGUGGUGCUGAGGAUGGGGAAGGCGCUGCGGAGCAAAGCCAGUGCGCGGCGGCGGAGGGGUCCGACCUUGGCGCUCCCGCGGAUCCGGCGAUGGCGAGCCUUGGCGACGGCUGUGGUGCGGAGGGGUCGGGCCAGCACGCGGCUACGGCUGCGGAGGGGCUGCGUCAGCGCACGGCUUCAGCAGGAGGCGGUGUCUCAGCUGCAGCAAUCACGGGCCAGGGCGGGGCAUGGGCUGAGGGCUCGACCGCCGGCAUGGCUGGAGGCUCAGGCCAAGGCACGGCUGGUUCGGGCUCGACAGCAGCUGUAGGCUCAGGCCAAUACGCUGCUGAAUCGGCCUCGGCAGCAGAUCAGGGAAGGGGAAGAAGAUGGAGCUUGCUAAAAAGGAUGAAAUUUGUCCUAUGGUGCCAUUUGACAGCCCCGCAAUGA
RNAcentral lists this ribosomal RNA (435 nucleotides) under Triticum aestivum (bread wheat). RNAcentral's name for it is "partial small subunit ribosomal RNA". Lineage: Eukaryota; Viridiplantae; Streptophyta; Magnoliopsida; Poales; Poaceae. The record is from RNAcentral.